GUGGUGCAUGGUUGUCGUCAGCUCGUGCCGUGAGAUGUUGGGUUAAGUCCCGCAACGAGCGCAACCCCUAUUGUUAGUUUGCCAUCAUUCAGUUGGGCACUCUAGCGAGACUGCCGGUAAUAAACCGGAGGAAGGUGGGGAUGACGUCAAAUCAUCAUGCCCCUUAUGACCUGGGCUACACACGUGCUACAAUGGUUGGUACAACGAGUUGCGAGUCGGUGACGGCGAGCUAAUCUCUUAAAGCCAAUCUCAGUUCGGAUUGUAGGCUGCAACUCGCCUACAUGAAGUCGGAAUCGCUAGUAAUCGCGGAUCAGCACGCCGCGGUGAAUACGUUCCCGGGCCUU
RNAcentral lists this ribosomal RNA (344 nucleotides) under uncultured Streptococcus sp. RNAcentral describes it as "bacterial SSU rRNA". It matches the Rfam family "Bacterial small subunit ribosomal RNA", at positions 1038 to 1382 of the family's 1533-position model. Lineage: Bacteria; Bacillati; Bacillota; Bacilli; Lactobacillales; Streptococcaceae. The record is from RNAcentral.